GAUGAACGCUGGCGGCGUGCUUAACACAUGCAAGUCGAGCGAAGCACUUAAGUUCGAUUCUUCGGAUGAAGACUUUUGUGACUGAGCGGCGGACGGGUGAGUAACGCGUGGGCAACCUGCCUCAUACAGGGGGAUAACAGUUAGAAAUGGCUGCUAAUACCGCAUAAGACCACGGUACUGCAUGGUACAGUGGUAAAAACUCCGGUGGUAUGAGAUGGACCCGCGUCUGAUUAGGUAGUUGGUGAGGUAACGGCUCACCAAGCCGACGAUCAGUAGCCGACCUGAGAGGGUGACCGGCCACAUUGGGACUGAGACACGGCCCAGACUCCUACGGGAGGCAGCAGGGGGGAAUAUUGCACAAUGGGCGAAAGCCUGAUGCAGCGACGCCGCGUGAAGGAUGAAGUAUUUCGGUAUGUAAACUUCUAUCAGCAGGGAAGAAAAUGACGGUACCUGACUAAGAAGCCCCGGCUAACUACGUGCCAGCCGCCGCCGUAA
RNAcentral lists this ribosomal RNA (495 nucleotides) under uncultured bacterium. RNAcentral's name for it is "partial 16S ribosomal RNA". It matches the Rfam family "Bacterial small subunit ribosomal RNA", at positions 28 to 523 of the family's 1533-position model. The record is from RNAcentral.